UUAGCAAUUUGUGACAAGCAAACCCCUCAAAAAUCUAUCUAUGGCUACAUAAUAAGAAGAACAAGUCAGAGAUAUUGAGCACGCAAAAUGAUUAAGGGUACAAAAAUACUACUAAAAGAAGGAGAAAUAUACAGUAUGCUAAGUGAGCUACAAUGCUUGUUUUGUUCAUAUUUGCUAGUUAACCAAGUUCUCCAUUCUUCAACAAUCAAAACGCAGUGUUUCAGCAUCUAACAAAGGCACAGCUUGCCAAGCCGAAGCCGCAAUCAAAGGCCGGCUAUGCCAACCCAAAGUCAAGCUACCUUGAUUCUCUUCCACGCAAUAACCCUCCGCUGAAAACAGAGUCAACAACAUACUCGCUUGCUUAAAAGCAUUCGAACCCAAAUGCAACGGUCUGAACCCGGCUUUACCAAGCCGCUCCUUCCACUUAACCAACGGUUCAUGUCUCUCAACUCGAGCAGGUCCUUCGCAGCACACCACGUUGCAUAUCUCUCUUUGUAAAUACAUCUCGGCCAUAGCUUUAUCUGGUUCAACCGGACACGCUUCAAGCGAGUCAAAAACGGUCGAGUAAUAAUGCAAUGCCUCCGUGAACCGUUCCAUAAACCCGUUCUCGUUAUGGUUCGCUUCUUGUUCAACAACUGUAACGAUUUUCGGAUUCAAACUCCGGAUCCAACCCAAAACCAUUUCAAUACCCGAAUGAUAAUUCGAGUCGGAUUCAGAUCCGAGAAGACGAUGAAGCUGAAAAAUAGAAUUAACCGCCACAGCUUCUUUAGAACUCACCUGAAGCAUCCAUGGCUUCACAUCUUCAAGCCGCCACGCAGCAACGCCGCGAAAGGCGAAUCUAACGUUAACGGAGCGUGCAAGUUCAGCGAGACGGAGGCCGAUUUCACGGAGGUUGUCACGGUCAUCCGGCGACGGCGGACCAAUGCCGGUAAGCCGGAGAAACGGAGGUCCGCCAGGACGAAGAGCAAGAGCUUGAAUUAACGCUGGCCAUUGAAGACCAUGCAUGAGGUUGAAAUCAAUGACGUGGACACAAUCGUGGCCGUUGAAAGCUUCGAGUAUAGCUUGAUUUGCGGUGAAAUGUGCGAAUUUGAGGUAUGGACAAGCUUCGUAGUAGUGAUGGUAAAGAACAUCGUUCUCGUAAAGAGAAACUUGGUGGCUAACAUUGUUUUGACCGAAGAUGCGACGGUUCAAAGCGUCGAUGAAGUAUCCGGCGACUUUUCCGAUGCCGGAGUUUGUGUUCAUGUUUGCCAACAACCCUUGCAUGCCUUCGAUUAGCGAGCCAGCCAAUGAAAGAUUACCACGUUGCACGGAAUCUGCACAGGUCAUCAGCAUGUGGACAAGUUUUAUUGCAGAAUCUUCUUCGACAUUAUUAACUGUCGAAGAAGAUUGGUGGUGGUGGUGUUGUGGCGGCGGUGCUGAGAGAUCUGGAAGUUGAGAGAAAUCGUAGGGUAAAGAGGCCGUGUGGUCAAAUUCGGAGAGGAGAUUGUCCACCCAAUUGCCAAUGUCGGAGGGAUCAUAGUGGACCGUAUCCGAAGCGAAUUGAGAAAUGUCGCUGGAUGAGUUCACGAUCGCACUUUCUAAUCGUUCGAGAUUCUGAGCUACUUGAUGUAGCUCAGAUGAUCGGACUUUGUAGCCGACAUUGGCGAGGAGGCCAUCGAUGUCUUUUGUCUUUGAUGGAGAAGAAGAAUCUGAAACUAUUUCCAUAGAAUUCAAAACUUAAAACACAGUUUUUGAACUUAUAAGCGUUAGUCUGUGGAAGCAAAGUUGAAGUAUGAUAGCAUCUAAAGAAGUGUGUGUGUUUAUAAUUGAGUUUAAGCUAGGAGAGAGUGAAAAAAGAGGAGAAAGAAAUAAAGAAAGUGAUGUGUGAGAAAACUAAGAGAGAAGCUAAGUUGUAAAAUGCAUGAGCACGAUGGGUUACUAAUUUGUGUUGAGUAGCUAUCUGCAGUGCUAGCACAUCAUAUUUGAUUGAUACAACUACUUAUAUAAUUUCAACUUUUUUUAAAAGGUACCCUAAUGUCACGCUAGUGUGCCUUCAAUUUUUAGUAGCCUUAGGUACCAAAGUUGGCUUUUGAUAAUUUAGAUGCUGUUUAUCCAAUAUUGGGAUUUGGGUACAACAAGUGGUUCCUCCUGGGUCGGUCUGGGUCUACUACUAUCAGUGUAGUACCACACUACCACCAUUAACCAUUGUGAUUUGUUACGAUUUUCAGGGUCCAGAAACUAUAGUACAACUGUACAAUAAUACCACAAACUGUAAAAAUAUAUAAACAGUGUAAAGUAUUACUGUUGUUUACAGUUUAACUGACCAAACAAAUGCCAAAUAAUAUAUAAACAGGAAUGUGCUAACAUGUUGAUUCCAAUUUUACUCCAAUUCCAACUUGGGAAUACUGUUAUUUCACAUGCUAUGUUAUGCUACUCUUCAAUUUGUUUUUGAAUUUAUUUCCUAUCUUAUACCUGCUAAACCUAGCAAGUGAUAAUUUGUAUUCAAUUCAUAGAUGAGAAAAAACCCUGACACACUUGACAGCACCUUGCUUUCACGAGCUUGUUUUUCUUACUUUCUUCAUUUAGCACCCACGGUAUACUACAGAUAACCUGUAC
RNAcentral lists this long non-coding RNA (2595 nucleotides) under Medicago truncatula (barrel medic). Its description in RNAcentral is "lncRNA gene10109". The record is from RNAcentral. Lineage: Eukaryota; Viridiplantae; Streptophyta; Magnoliopsida; Fabales; Fabaceae.